GACGAACGCUGGCGGCGUGCUUAACACAUGCAAGUCGAACGGAAAGGCCCUGCUUUUGUGGGGUGCUCGAGUGGCGAACGGGUGAGUAACACGUGAGUAACCUGCCCUUGUCUUUGGGAUAACUUCAGGAAAAUGCGGCUAAUACCGGAUAGGAGCUCCUGCUGCACGGUGGGGGUUGGAAAGUUUCGGCGGUUGGGGAUGGACUAGCGGCUUAUCAGCUGGUUGGUGGGGUAGUGGCUUACAAAGGCUUUGACGGGUAGCCGGCCUGAGAGGGUGACCAGCCACAUUGGGACUGAGAGACGGCCCAGAAUCCUACGGGACGCAGCAGUGGGGAGUAUUGCAGAGUGGGCGGAAGCCUGAUGCAGAAACGCCGCGUGCGGGAUGACGGCCUUCGGGUUGUAAACCGAUUUCGCCUGUGACGAAGCGUGCGUGACGGUAAUGGGUAAAGAAGCACCGGCUAACUACGUG
Molecule: ribosomal RNA, 468 nt
Filed under: uncultured bacterium
Lineage: Bacteria
Description: partial 16S ribosomal RNA
Rfam family: Bacterial small subunit ribosomal RNA
Source: RNAcentral